Molecule: ribosomal RNA, 393 nt
Filed under: uncultured bacterium
Lineage: Bacteria
Description: partial 16S ribosomal RNA
Rfam family: Bacterial small subunit ribosomal RNA
Source: RNAcentral
AUACGGAGGAUGCAAGCGUUAUCCGGAUUUAUUGGGUUUAAAGGGUGCGUAGGCGGUUUGCUAAGCGGGAGGUGAAAUGCCGGCGCUCAACGUCGGAAGUGCCUCCCGAACUGGUGGACUGGAAUGACUCUGCCGUGGGAGGAAUGUGUAGUGUAGCGGUGAAAUGCUUAGAGAUUACACAGAACACCGAUUGCGAAGGCAUCUCAUGAAGGGUUGAUUGACGCUGAGGCACGAAAGCGUGGGGAUCAAACAGGAUUAGAUACACUGGUAGUCCACGCAGUAAACGAUGAUGGCUAACCGCUGGGCUUAUCAGUUCAGUGGCCAAGCGAAAGCGAUAAGCCAUCCACCUGGGGAGUACGACCGCAAGGUUGGAACUCAAAGGAAUUGACGGGG